Molecule: long non-coding RNA, 664 nt
Filed under: Zea mays
Lineage: Eukaryota; Viridiplantae; Streptophyta; Magnoliopsida; Poales; Poaceae
Description: long non-coding RNA (ZMAY_LNC005551)
Source: RNAcentral
UGCACUUACAGCAGCAGCAGCAGCCGCCGCCACAGCUUGCUGCGCUUGUUGUGCGACCUCAGCUCGCUCCAUGGACCCCUUCUGCUUCAGCUUGCAGGUCAGUCGGCAUAUUACUGAUCUCUGCUCUCCACUGCAAGAAGAAUUUUGCUAGAAAGAAAUGCAUAGUUGUUAGCUCGUUUCUUACUGUUCUGUUUAUAUUUUCCCUCCCUUUGUUUUCUAGAUAAGCGGAUGUAUGUCAGUUGCGUCAUCAUUUAUCACUGUCCAAUGUCCAUAGACAUCACAACAAGCACUCGAAGAUUUGGGACUGUUCCAACAAGGUAUGUUCUGGUCUUUCCAUGGCUUUGUAGCUUCUAUAGGCGUAUACCAUAUAUUACCAUCUCAGUAAAAGACAUUUCAGCUUCCUGGCCCAACUCAGAUGCCCUGCAGGUUCCCAAAACUCAUCAAACUCUGACCAUGGACAUUAUAUUGUUAUUUAGCUAUUUAGGCUGGUCAUCAUCAUCCUGUCACUUGUUUUGAAAAGCAUGGGUUCACGAUACUAAAAUAUUUAAUGCCAUUUUUUUUUAGCACCGAGCUGUUCAAAACGACAAGCACUUGAGAAGAGUUCUCCCUGCAUUUAUGAAUACUUGUGAAACUCUGACCAUGAAUGUAACCUUAGAUAUUAAAU